AUUGACCGCUGGCGGCAGCCCUAACACAUGCAAGUCGAUCGCGCGGCGGACGGGUGCUUAAUGUCUUGUGCCUGCCCCAUAGCGGGGGCUAACUACUUGAAACGGUAGCUACUACCGCAUACUAUCGGAUAACCCAUAUGGGAUUAGCUAGUAGGUGAGGUACUGGCUCACCUAGGCGACGAUCCCUAGCUGGUCUGAGAGGAUGAUCAGCAACAAUGGGACUGAGACACGGCCCAGAUUCCGACGGAGGCAGCAGUGGGGAAUAUUGCAUAAUGGGCGCAAGCAUGAUGAAGCCAUGACGCGUGUCGGAAGAAGGAGAUGGGGAUAAAAAGUACAGUGUUUGGGGAUGCGUUACCGACAGAAGAAGUGCCGGCUUACUCGGUGGCAGCAGCCGCGGUAAUUC
This 403-nucleotide ribosomal RNA is filed under the name uncultured bacterium. Its description in RNAcentral is "partial 16S ribosomal RNA". It matches the Rfam family "Bacterial small subunit ribosomal RNA", at positions 30 to 526 of the family's 1533-position model. The record is from RNAcentral.